GACGAACGCUGGCGGCGUGCCUAAUACAUGCAAGUCGAGCGCAGGAAAUCGACGGAACCCUUCGGGGGGAAGUCGACGGAAUGAGCGGCGGACGGGUGAGUAACACGUAAAGAACCUGCCCUCAGGUCUGGGAUAACCACGAGAAAUCGGGGCUAAUACCGGAUGGGUCAUCGGACCGCAUGGUCCGAGGAUGAAAGGCGCUUCGGCGUCGCCUGGGGAUGGCCUUGCGGUGCAUUAGCUAGUUGGUGGGGUAAUGGCCCACCAAGGCGACGAUGCAUAGCCGACCUGAGAGGGUGAGCGGCCACACUGGGACUGAGACACGGCCCAGACUCCUACGGGAGGCAGCAGUAGGGAAUCUUCCACAAUGGACGAAAGUCUGAUGGAGCAACGCCGCGUGAACGAUGAAGGCCUUCGGGUCGUAAAGUUCUGUUGUAAGGGAAGAACAAGUGCCGCAGGCAAUGGCGGCACCUUGACGGUACCUUGCGAGAAAGCCACGGCUAACUACGUGCCAGCCGCCGCAGUAA
This 524-nucleotide ribosomal RNA is filed under the name uncultured bacterium. RNAcentral describes it as "partial 16S ribosomal RNA". It matches the Rfam family "Bacterial small subunit ribosomal RNA", at positions 28 to 523 of the family's 1533-position model. The record is from RNAcentral.